UGCUGCUGUGAAUAGCUAGUUGGCAAAUGUUGUAUUGAACACAGCCACUUUGAAAACCCUGGGCCAGGACCAUUUGAUAAUUAACCGCACACAACUACACGGGGAAGGACCAAUCCUCUGUGGAAUCUGCCACUGGAAUAUUGUCACUGCUGUCAUCUGGGAUUUCACAACCACAUUCAGUCGCUUUGCCUGGACUGAAACGACUCAUCUGUACAUCGACAGUUUCAUUCUUGACCCACUCACUUCCUGCUUCUCGGUAGAAUGGUUUUAACUCAUUUGUACCUCACUAGUCAGUCAAUUAAUUGAGCGAGCGGGCAAUAGAACAGCGAGGACGUUGAACAUCCUCAAUCAGUCCCAGAGGAUUGCCGGAAAAAUGGGAAAAAUAAAAUCCACGUGAGCAGCGAUACAUUAGAUUGACCAGAAAGCCCAAAUGGGUAAAAUGGCAGUGCUGAUCAUUUAGAUUCAUUAAGUUUCUAGUGGAAAUAAUGGAGACAGAAAUACAUUGAUACAGCUUCAUGUUGGAAGGAACUGCAGAUGCUGCUUUAUACCGAAUAUAGACAAGUAACUGGGCGGGAGUAACUGGGCGGGACAGCAGCAUCUCUGGAGAGAAGGAAUGGGUGACAUUUCAUGUCAAAGAAGUCUGGGUCUGAAGAAGGGUCUCGACAUGAAACAUCACCCAUUCUUUCUCACCAGAUGCUGCCUGUCCCGCUGAGUUAUUCCAGCAUUUUGUGUCUCUCUUCAUUAUUCAUUACGUUUCUAUGUCCUUGUAAAAUCUAAAGCAGAACAGACUGGUACAGUCUAAUAAAUGGUUGUAGGAGUGGAAUAUCACCCGUUAGAAAUUUAAAACCAUACAAAGAAUAUAUUACUCAAAAACUAAAAUAAGUAAACGUUUUCCAAAUGUCUCCCCCAUCUGUGAUAAAUGUCUAUCCCAUGAAGCAACUAUAGCACAUUCCUUUGUUUUUUGUAGAAAAAUCCAAACAUUUUGGAAUGAAUGUUUUGAAAUAUUAAAAAAAUUAUUUCAAAUAAAACUGAAACCGAACGCAGAAUUGAUUAUUUUUGGAACCAUGGAAGGCAGCCCUGAGCUAACUGCAUCCCAAAAGAGCCGACUUAAUUACGGUUUAAUAAUGGGGAAAAAACUCAUACUUAAAUUAUGGAAAAACACCCCAACACCAACAAUAUUUAUGUGGAUUUCAAAUAUGUUCGAAACGUUACACCUGGAAGAUAUGAGAUUCCUUCUAGCAGGCAAACCAGACUAUUUCCAAAAGAUUUGGUCUCCAUUUCUCGACUUACUACAAGUAUAAGGUGCAACAGAAUUCUGAAAAUAAAUGGUUUCAGGACCUGGUGAGGGGGGAGGAAAAAUACAAAGUUGGUUUAUCCCUUGUAGCUCUGUUUUUUAAACUUUUAAUAUAUCUUCUGUUUUCUUUUUCUCUUUUUCUUUUUCUAUGGCUUGCUUCUUAACUCUUUUUCGAACUUUUCAUGUCUAAGGGUCUCUUUUGAUCACUCUUUCACACACUUACUAUCCUGUUUAACUCUCUUUACUUUUCUUCUUUUCAAAGUUUAAAAUAUAAAGUGGUGCAGGAAAUGUAUAAUGUUAUUUUUGGCUUAUAACCAUAUAACCAUCUAACAAUUACAGCACGGAAACAGGCCAUCUUGGCCCUACAAGUCCGUGCCGAACAACUUUUUUCCAUUAGUCCCACCUGCCUGCACUCAUGCCAUAACAUGUUACCCCUAAACUUCUGUCCCUUAAUUCUGAAGUCAUGUCCUCUUGUUUGAAUCUUCCCUAUUCUCAAAGGGAAAAGCUGAUCCACAUCAACUCUGUCUAUCCCUCUCAUCGUUUUAAAGACCUCUAUCAAGUCCCCCCUUAACCUUCUGUGCUCCACAGAAUAAAGACCUAACUUAUUCAACCUUUCUCUGUAACUUAGUUGUUGAAACCCAGGCAACAUUCUAGUAAAUCUCCUCUGUACUCUCUCUAUUUUGUUGACAUCUACAUUACUAAAACUCAGUUCUUGACCGCGUUUCCCGAUCUGUGCUGCGAUUUCCGAGAGAACGCCGCCACCUACGGCCGUCAUUUUUGGCCACCUCCCUCAGAGCCCCCCUCUGCCGCAUGUGUGCCGAGGAGUUGUCCCCUCGAUGAAAAAUGACCGAGAUAUUAAUGUUUUUACAUCAUUCCCCAUUCUCUCUGCUGCCCCCGCUGGCGGCAGGGGAGAGAGGGGCUAUAAAACCCCGGAAGCGAUCCGCUUCAACUCACUUUCUUGCCGGCCACGAAGAGAAAGGAUCACGGCUCUCUGAGCUGCAGCUCUGCUCCCAGGUGAGUGCUUUUUCACCCAAUUGAUAUGUAUGUUAUUCACCAUGCUCUGAAGUUUCUUGGCAUUUUGUUGGAAAGAGUUUGUAUAUUUGUCUACUAUCUAUAUUGUGUUUGAACUGUGAAUUGAAAAUAAAAAACAUUUGUAUAUUUGUCUAUCUAUACUGUGUUUGAACUGUGAAUUGAAAAUAAAAACCAUUGUAUAUUUGUCUAUCUAUACUGUGUUUGAACUGUGAAAUGAAAAUACAAACCAUUUGUUAUUGAUGUAAAGCGUUUUGCAAAUUUUGUUUCUCUUGGGUUUUCAAAUGGUUGCACCGGUUUUGAGGUAACUAAAGCAUGAUGUCUAUUGUGUUUGAAAUGGUGAUGUAAAUUGAAAUGCAUUUGUUGCAACGUUUUCAGGCCAGUAAUGCGCGAAAGAUACUUUUUAUUUCGAUCAGACUGUGUUUAAAUUUAAAAUUGGCGGACAUUUUGUGGUUUUGGCGGUUUGAAGAUUGCGGCGAUGACGUCAUUUCCGACGAUCGGUAAGAUGGCGGCGAUGACGUCAUUUCCGGCGAGCCGCGAAGUGAAAGUGUCACGGCUCUCUGAACUGCAGCUCUGCUCCCAGGCCAGUAAUGCGCGAAAGAUACUUUUUAUUUCGAUCAGCACUGUGUUUAAAUUUAAAAUUGGCGGACAUUUCGUGAUUGUGGCAGUUUGAAGAUGGUACGAUGACGUCAUUUCCGGCGAUUGGUAAGAUGGCGGCGAUUACGUCAUUUCCGGUCAGAGGCAAGAUGGCGCUGAAGACGUGCACGAGGUGUUGAAUGAUUCUACAGAACUGGAAAUAAUGAUCAAGAGGCAGUGAGCAGCAGAACACAACAAGACGCAACAAGACACAACAAGUAAAAAUUUAAUAAAUCUCAUCUUUAAAAUUUAAAUUGUACUUAUAUUUUAAGAGUCAUUUACAUUUUAUACUUUAA
Leucoraja erinaceus (little skate) is the source of this 3255-nucleotide long non-coding RNA. RefSeq lists it as uncharacterized. The transcript has 3 exons. Lineage: Eukaryota; Metazoa; Chordata; Chondrichthyes; Rajiformes; Rajidae. The record is from RefSeq and is a predicted model, not a curated record.